This 810-nucleotide long non-coding RNA is filed under the name Brassica napus (rape). RNAcentral describes it as "long non-coding RNA (BNAP_LNC004055)". The record is from RNAcentral. Lineage: Eukaryota; Viridiplantae; Streptophyta; Magnoliopsida; Brassicales; Brassicaceae.
CCAAAAUUUAUCACUUAAGACGUUUAUAAUUAUUAACCAAUUGGUAAAUCAGCAUUCCAAACUUCUUAGAAUCUACCUCAACUCGAUCAAUCAACAAGAACAUAUGAAAGCAUGAAAGAAAAAGAAAAGUUACAAAAAAAAAAAAAAAAGAAUAACACAAGACGAGCUUUCAUACGGGGUUCACAUCACGCUCCUCGAUGUACAAAGCAGCUAUCCUCACCAUAGCUGAUAUGUACCCGUGAUUCACUAGAACAAUUAAUUCAAGCUCGAGCUUAUGAUCUACAGUGACACACCUUAGGUUUCUUUUUCAAUCUAUUACAACUUCUUAGCCAAAAUAUUGUUUAAGAGUUACGGGAGGAAAAAUGACAUAUACUCACGUGAUCAACACGCGUGUUUUGGGGUUUCACCUCUAUUAACCGGUUUCCACACUUUGGUUAACUUGCACCAAUAAGAUCAAUUGAUGAUCAAGAACAUAAUCCAAGCAUCGUCACAUGGCCAUCUUUUAACAUGCGGAUUGUGAUAACUUAAUGAUGUCAUUUUGUCUAAGAUAUCAAAUCAAACAUGCAAAGAAACACAGAGAAUUGUUCAAUUUGAAUUUUGAAACUAUUUUUGCGGAUGGCCAUGUCUCAUAGACUGGAGAUUUAUGACAAUUCACGAGAUUAUGCUCACCACUUCAGUUUCACAUAUAUCCGAAAAAUAAGAGUAAAAGCAAUAUUAGCUUUAUAAGGCUUCACAUGUUAAUCACCCAUGAAAAAGAGGCAUUUGUACAUUAUUAGUGAAUCUUAAUAAUCAUGCAUCCUAUAUCAGGAU